AGGAGCGUCCACAGCUCGCCGCCAAGACAAACCUCCAACAGCAUAUACAAAUACUUGGGGUCCCGGAAGGUCCGAUACAACCUGCAGUGAGUGAGAAGAAGGCAGUGCUCACCUGACCCUCACUGAUGAUGAAGAAGGUGUCCCCCGUGGCACCCUGUCGAAUGAUGUAAUCACCAUCUGUGUAGUGUCGGGCGGGACAGAACUCGCCUCCUCCAGAACGUCCGCCAGCUUGCUGAGGAUGUCCUCAGGAAGGGCCUGAAAGGACGGAACGCUAGUGGGAGAAAGAGAUGGCGUCAAUAUGACAUCGUGAUGUGACAUCCUCAUGUUCCAAUGGCAGCUGUGUUGUCACCACACGACGCAAAAGUGCGCUCACGAUCCAGCUCGGCCUGCAGAUGUCUAAUCAGGAGCUCUUUGGCGUCCAGCUCCAACUCCAGCUCGUCAAUCAAUGCGUCUCGCUCCA
This is a long non-coding RNA of Syngnathoides biaculeatus (alligator pipefish), 460 nucleotides long. RefSeq lists it as uncharacterized. The record is from RefSeq and is a predicted model, not a curated record. The transcript is spliced from 4 exons. NCBI's taxonomy places the organism in Eukaryota, Metazoa, Chordata, Actinopteri, Syngnathiformes, Syngnathidae.